GAGACAGCAGCCGCCGCGGUAUACGAGGGGGGCAAGCGUUGUUCGGAAUUAUUGGGCGUAAAGGGUGCGUAGGCGGUUUCGUAAGUCUGAUGUGAAAUCUAUGGGCUCAACCCAUAGUCUGCAUCGGAAACUGCGAGGCUUGAGAGUGGGAGAGGUGAGUGGAAUUUCCGGUGUAGCGGUGAAAUGCGUAGAUAUCGGAAGGAACACCUGUGGCGAAAGCGGCUCACUGGACCAUUUCUGACGCUGAUGCACGAAAGCUAGGGGAGCAAACAGGAUUAGAUACCCCUGUAGUCCCUGUCUCUUAUACA
This 308-nucleotide ribosomal RNA is filed under the name uncultured bacterium. Its description in RNAcentral is "partial 16S ribosomal RNA". It matches the Rfam family "Bacterial small subunit ribosomal RNA", at positions 505 to 808 of the family's 1533-position model. The record is from RNAcentral.